Molecule: ribosomal RNA, 796 nt
Filed under: uncultured bacterium
Lineage: Bacteria
Description: bacterial SSU rRNA
Rfam family: Bacterial small subunit ribosomal RNA
Source: RNAcentral
AGAGUUUGAUUAUGGCUCAGGACCUUUGCUGGCGGCGUGCCUAACACAUGCAAGUCGAACGGACCUCUUUAAGGAAAACUCUUCGGAGUCGGAAUUCUUGACUUAGUGGCGGACGGGUGAGUAACGCGUGAGCAAUCUGCCUUUGGAUGUGGGAUAACAGCCGGAAACGGCUGCUAAUACCGCAUAACGCAUUCUGGCCGCAUGACCGGGAUGCCAAAGAUUUAUCGUCCAAAGAUGAGCUCGCGUCUGAUUAGCUGGUUGGCGGGGUAACGGCCCACCAAGGCGACGAUCAGUAGCCGGACUGAGAGGUUGAACGGCCACAUUGGGACUGAGACACGGCCCAGACUCCUACGGGAGGCAGCAGUGGGGAAUAUUGCGCAAUGGGGGCAACCCUGACGCAGCAACGCCGCGUGAUUGAAGAAGGCCUUCGGGUUGUAAAGAUCUUUAAACAGGGACGAAGAAAUGACGGUACCUGAAGAAUAAGCUCCGGCUAACUACGUGCCAGCAGCCGCGGUAAUACGUAGGGAGCAAGCGUUAUCCGGAUUUACUGGGUGUAAAGGGCGUGUAGGCGGGCCUGUAAGUCAGAAGUGAAAUCUGGGGGCUUAACCCCCAAACUGCUUUUGAAACUGCGGGUCUUGAGUGAUGGAGAGGCAGGCGGAAUUCCCAGUGUAGCGGUGAAAUGCGUAAAUAUUGGGAGGAACACCAGUGGCGAAGGCGGCCUGCUGGACAUUAACUGACGCUGAGGCGCGAAAGCGUGGGGAGCCAACAGGAUUAAAUACCCUGGUAUUUCCCCCCC